This 430-nucleotide ribosomal RNA is filed under the name Brucella melitensis. RNAcentral describes it as "partial 16S ribosomal RNA". It matches the Rfam family "Bacterial small subunit ribosomal RNA", at positions 355 to 776 of the family's 1533-position model. The record is from RNAcentral. RNAcentral also lists the same sequence under 9 other names. Lineage: Bacteria; Pseudomonadati; Pseudomonadota; Alphaproteobacteria; Hyphomicrobiales; Brucellaceae.
UGGGGAAUAUUGGACAAUGGGCGAAAGCCUGAUCCAGCCAUGCCGCGUGUGUGAAGAAGGCCUUUUGGUUGUAAAGCACUUUAAGCGAGGAGGAGGCUACUUGGAUUAAUACUCUAGGAUAGUGGACGUUACUCGCAGAAUAAGCACCGGCUAACUCUGUGCCAGCAGCCGCGGUAAUACAGAGGGUGCGAGCGUUAAUCGGAUUUACUGGGCGUAAAGCGUGCGUAGGCGGCUUUUUAAGUCGGAUGUGAAAUCCCUGAGCUUAACUUAGGAAUUGCAUUCGAUACUGGGAAGCUAGAGUAUGGGAGAGGAUGGUAGAAUUCCAGGUGUAGCGGUGAAAUGCGUAGAGAUCUGGAGGAAUACCGAUGGCGAAGGCAGCCAUCUGGCCUAAUACUGACGCUGAGGUACGAAAGCAUGGGGAGCAAACAGG